Molecule: ribosomal RNA, 649 nt
Filed under: Phaeocalicium sp. Tuovila 10-017 (H)
Lineage: Eukaryota; Fungi; Ascomycota; Eurotiomycetes; Mycocaliciales; Mycocaliciaceae
Description: eukaryotic LSU rRNA
Rfam family: 5.8S ribosomal RNA (bases 283-436)
Source: RNAcentral
GUAACAAGGUUUCCGUAGGUCAGUACACCCCUAUNUCUCAAACCGUUACCUCUCCAAACAUUCGAACCAUUGCUAACAUUUNUCUAGGUGAACCUGCGGAAGGAUCAUUAAAGAGCGUUUAGGGUCCCCUCAAAAAGGGCCCGACCUCCAACCCCUUGUAUAAAUAAGUCCCUGUUGCUUCGGCGGCUCUGGCCCCCCAUCUCACGGGGGUNACCCGCCGGGGAACAACCAAAACUCUUGUCAUGUACUGUGCCGUCUGAGUCUUUUAGCGAAUUAAAAUAAAACUUUCAACAACGGAUCUCUUGGUUCUGGCAUCGAUGAAGAACGCAGCGAAAUGCGAUAAGUAAUGUGAAUUGCAGAAUUCAGUGAAUCAUCGAAUCUUUGAACGCACAUUGCGCCCCCUGGUAUUCCGGGGGGCAUGCCUGUUCGAGCGUCAUUAUCACCCCUCAAGCCCGGCUUGCAGUUGGGCUCCGUCUCUCCCCCGGGGGAGACCGGCCUAAAAAUCGGUGACGGCCGUGUCCGGUCCCCAGCGUAGUAAGAUUUUCACAAGUCAUCGCUUCCGGGUCGGGCACUGUGCCGGUCAAAACCCCUCUAUUUUCAAGAUUGACCUCGGAUCAGGUAGGGAUACCCGCUGAACUUAAGCAUAUCA